GCCAGCAGCCGCGGUUAAACCAAGAAAUUAAAUCAUAUUUAUACGGUAAAAAGGCAGUUAGACUUAAGAUAUAAGAGUAUAUUAAUUUUUUAUAAAAAGGUAAAAUUUGAAUAUAAAAGAUAAAUCUAAUAAUUUCUCGUUAGUUGAAGCUGCGAUAGUUUUGAGGGAAACUGGGAUUAGAUACCCCAUUAUUCUUAACUGUAAAUUAUUUAUAUUUACCAGAGUACUACGAAUUUUAUAUAAUUUAAAACUCAAAGGGCUUGGCGGUGUUUUAGACCUCUUAGGGGAACCUGUCUCAUAAUCGACAAUCCACGUUAGACCUAACCUUUUUUUGCAAGUCAGUUUAUAUACCGUUGUCGUCAGGUAACUUUUGAAAAUUUAGAAGUUAGCAAAUUAAUAAAAUAAAUUAAGACGUCAAAUCAAGGUGUAACCGAUAAAAAGGGAGAAGAUGGGUUACAAUUAUUUAAGUUAUAAUUACAGAUUAUUAUGUGAAAUAAUUUUAUGAAGGAGGACUUAAAAGUAAAACAUAUUAUAUAAACAUUUUGAAUAAGGCUCUGAAACGUGCACACAUCGCCCGCCGCUCUAAAUA
Molecule: ribosomal RNA, 589 nt
Filed under: Belomitra sp. 2 NP-2008
Lineage: Eukaryota; Metazoa; Mollusca; Gastropoda; Neogastropoda; Buccinidae
Description: partial 12S ribosomal RNA
Source: RNAcentral